RNAcentral lists this ribosomal RNA (381 nucleotides) under uncultured Leptolinea sp. RNAcentral describes it as "bacterial SSU rRNA". It matches the Rfam family "Bacterial small subunit ribosomal RNA", at positions 985 to 1382 of the family's 1533-position model. Lineage: Bacteria; Bacillati; Chloroflexota; Anaerolineae; Anaerolineales; Anaerolineaceae. The record is from RNAcentral.
CAUGCAAGUAUCGGCAGGCGCGAAGCGUCGGCACCUCGGGAGGCUUGCACAGGUGCUGCAUGGCUAUCGUCAGCUCGUGUCGUGAGAUGUUCGGUUAAGUCCGCUAACGAGCGCAACCCUCACUGUGUGUUAUAUGUGUCACACGGGACCGCCGGUCUUAAGCCGGAGGAAGGUGGGAUGACGUCAAGUCAGCAUGGCCUUUAUAUCCUGGGCUACACACACGCUACAAUGGCCAACACAAUAGGUUGCUAAGCCGCGAGGUGGAGCCAAUCCAUAAAGUUGGUCUCAGUUCAGAUUGUAGGCUGCAACCCGCCUGCAUGAAGAUGGAGUUGCUAGUAACCGCAGGUCAGCUAUACUGCGGUGAAUACGUUCCCGGGGCUU